This 301-nucleotide ribosomal RNA is filed under the name uncultured bacterium. Its description in RNAcentral is "partial 16S ribosomal RNA". It matches the Rfam family "Bacterial small subunit ribosomal RNA", at positions 509 to 807 of the family's 1533-position model. The record is from RNAcentral.
CAGUAGCCGCGGGAAAACGGAGGGUGCAAGCGUUAUCCGGAUUUAUUGGGUUUAAAGGGUCCGUAUGCGGAUCUGUAAGUCAGUGGUGAAAUCUUACAGCUUAACUGUGAAACUGCCAUUGAUACUGCAGGUCUUGAGUAAAUUUGAAGUGGCUGGAAUAAGUAGUGUAGCGGUGAAAUGCAUAGAUAUUACUUAGAACACCAAUUGCGAAGGCAGGUCACUAAGAUUUAACUGACGCUGAUGGACGAAAGCGUGGGGAGCGAACAGGAUUAGAUACCCGCGUAGUCCCUGUCUCUUAUAC